GAUGAACGCUGGCGGCGUGCCUAAUACAUGCAAGUCGAGCGAACAGACGAGGAGCUUGCUCCUCUGACGUUAGCGGCGGACGGGUGAGUAACACGUGGAUAACCUACCUAUAAGACUGGUAUAACUUCGGGAAACCGGAGCUAAUACCGGAUAAUAUAUUGAACCGCAUGGUUCAAUAGUGAAAUACGGUUUUGCUGUCUCUUAUAGAUGGAUCCGCGCCGCAUUAGCUAGUUGGUAAGGUAACGGCUUACCAAGGCAACGAUGCGUAGCCGACGUGAGAGGGUGAUCGGCCACAUUGGAACUGAGACACGGUCCAGACUCCUACGGGAGGCAGCAGUAGGGAAUCUGCCGCAAUGGGCGAAAGCCUGACGGAGCAACGCCGAGUGAGUGAUGAAGGUCUUCGGAUCGUAAAACUCUGUUAUUAGGGAAGAACAAAUGUGUAAGUAACUAUGCACGUCUUGACGGUACCUAAUCAGAAAGCCACGGCUAACUACGUG
This 497-nucleotide ribosomal RNA is filed under the name uncultured bacterium. RNAcentral's name for it is "partial 16S ribosomal RNA". It matches the Rfam family "Bacterial small subunit ribosomal RNA", at positions 28 to 507 of the family's 1533-position model. The record is from RNAcentral.